UUUUUCUUAAAAAUUUCAAAACUAGUUAAAACGUAGUAUAUGAGAGAAAUUUACACAUUUCAUAACCGAAAAUAAGUUUUGAUAUCUAAAACAUUCAUUUAAAGUGAAAUUAUAGCUAAUGGAAUAAAAUAUUCCAAUUUUUCAUAAAACAAUUUUUUUUAGAAAUCUACGUAAAUAAUUUUUACAGUGUAAAAACAAAAUAAAUUCCUACAUACAGCAGCACACGCAGCCAGGUAUUCAAAAUAUUUAACAAUGACAUGUGGGCCCCCGAAUGACUAAAAGUAAUGAAAGCUGUGAACCUACAGUUGUUUUUUUUAAGGAUACAAGUCUAAUUAUAGCCUUCAACGAAAUGAGCUAUCUACCGACUAUCUUGAGCCUGAAAUGGGUGGAAAGGAGGGUGGUGAGAUUAUAUAAUCCCAGUGAGUAAACAAAUACCAUCUAAAAUAUCUAAAACUGAGUAAAUAGAGACAGAUAAAAUAUAUUAGUAUAAAAAUGAUUCAUAGCAUUUUGAACUCAUUUUAAUAAGAUAAAAUAGAUUCAUUUCACCCAAAUAAAUAACGAGGCUUAUGAUUUCUUGAAAAGCUUAGCUCGUGCCAAAAUCAUUCUCAUAUUCAGUUGUCAGGGAUACCUUGGCCUGGGGCUAUCCCAACCGAAUCCGCCAAGGCUGUUAAAAAGUCAUGUACGCAUAAAUCAUGUUUUUAUUUUGAAAACAUAGUUGUUCCUUGGUGUUGGCUAAGUUCACCCUCACGUGGUGGUUCAGCGUGAAGUGAACUCUAAAGUUUUACCUUAGGAGUUACCCUAUGUGCCUUUCCGGCUUAGGUAAGAUAUAACGGGAUUUAUCAUACCCCUCUAAAUAGGCUGGUCCACGGAAACCCACCCACUGCAGUAAACUAAUCGAUAUCCCACCAAAUUAAUAAAAUUUCAGCAGCAUAACGUGGCAAUUAUUUUACAACAUAGCAUGCAAGGCAAAACAAUAGUUCACAUAUGUUUAGCACAAUAAUCAAUCCAGCCACUCAUGCCCACAUUAUCAUAAGCCAUUUUAUUCAAAUCAUAAUUUACAACACAACAAAUAGUCUCUAAUUACUCCAUUUUCAAAACCAUCAUUCAAUUUCAAGACAAUUUUAUAAAAUCAUUUCAUUUAAUCACAUUUUGCUUAUAAAAUAUAAAGAUUUACCAUUUAAAGUCAUUUUCCAUAAAAUCACAAAAACGAAUUAAAAUUCACUUCAGAUAAUCAAGAUGAUGAUAAGGUUACUCACUGUAAUGGGAAUCGAAUUCGAGAUACUUUGAUUCUUGAUCCUCAGAUACUACCUCUUUACUCUUGUCAGAAUGCUCACCACUUAGACAUAAUGCACAAUAAGCAAUUUGCUACAUUUGUGCUAAACCGUUGUAAAACCAAUUCAGGCUUUAUACUAAUGCAUGAAAUGGGAUGUGAAAUACUCGGGUAACUAUCUAAAUACGGUGUUAAAUAUAAAUUCAAUUGUGUACCUAAAUACAAUGGUAUUGGCCUAAUUCGAUCUAUCACCCGAUUAAUUGGCCAAUACGUCUAAUUCAACUCUAAACAAUUCCAUUUCUCUCCCAACACUCCAAAUCAUUAAAUACAAUUUAAAUAACUUGAAAUGUGGCAAAAUCAUCCUCACAUUUUCUCUUGAAAAUUUCGGCCAUGGUGAGUGCACUAACAAUAUAAUUUUUCGUGCUUGAUUCUCACACCAUAAAUCAUUCAUUCCUAAUCAAAUCACUUGAAAUUAAAUCAAAUUCAUCAUUAAUAUUCCACAUGGAAUAUUCGGCCAAUGAAGGUGAUGUAAGAACAUGAAUUUUUCUUGCUUGCUUUUCAUACUACACAUCACCAAACAACUAAAAACACUAGAAUAACAUGUUUUCUAAAUAAAUUCAUCAUCAAAUUCUCUCUCCUAAGGUUUGAACAGCACACUAUCCUUCAUGAUAUCUUGUGAUUCAACCAUGGAAAAUGCAAAAUAAUGCAUAGGAAAGGUAGAUCACAAGCUAGAAUUAAGAAAUUUUACCUUUAAUGGCUUGAUUCCUUGAAAUUUGGUGAAUUUCUCUUGAAUUUCUUAGCUAGGGUUUUGUUCUUCUUCUUUUCUUCCCUUUUCUUCCUUUGGCCGACCAAGAGAAAUGAGU
This 2133-nucleotide long non-coding RNA is filed under the name Theobroma cacao (cacao). RNAcentral describes it as "long non-coding RNA (TCAC_LNC005321)". The record is from RNAcentral. Lineage: Eukaryota; Viridiplantae; Streptophyta; Magnoliopsida; Malvales; Malvaceae.